This 381-nucleotide ribosomal RNA is filed under the name uncultured marine Chaetocerotaceae. RNAcentral describes it as "SSU rRNA". It matches the Rfam family "Eukaryotic small subunit ribosomal RNA", at positions 587 to 972 of the family's 1831-position model. Lineage: Eukaryota; Bacillariophyta; Thalassiosirophyceae; Chaetocerotales; Chaetocerotaceae. The record is from RNAcentral.
AGCUCCAAUAGCGUAUAUUAAAGUUGCUGCAGUUAAAAAGCUCGUAGUUGCAUUUCCGAGGCAAGGGAUUAGUCCGACCUUUGGUGGGUAUUUAAUCCUCUUGCCUCGUCCUUGAGUGGUGCUUCUUGGUAUUAAGUUAUCGAGGAGAUAGCCGCUCAUCGUUUACUGUGAGAAAAUUAGAGUGUUCAAAGCAGGCUUAUGCCGUUGAAUAUAUUAGCAUGGAAUAAUAAGAUAGGGCCUCGGUACUAUUUUGUUGGUUUGAGAACCAAGGUAAUGAUGAAUAGGGACAGUUGGGGGUAUUCGUAUUCAGUUGUCAGAGGUGAAAUUCUUAGAUUUACGGAAGACGAACUACUGCGAAAGCAUUUGCCAAGGAUGUUUUCA